Long non-coding RNA from Hyla sarda, 500 nucleotides. RefSeq lists it as uncharacterized. The record is from RefSeq and is a predicted model, not a curated record. The transcript has 3 exons. NCBI's taxonomy places the organism in Eukaryota, Metazoa, Chordata, Amphibia, Anura, Hylidae.
GUAUAGGGGGCGAAUCGAACUUCACAUAUGUUCGCCCGGCGAUGCGAACAUGCUAAGUUCGCCUGGAACUGUUCGCCGGCGAACAAUUCGCGACAUCUCUAGUGGAGACCUGUGAGAUCGCUGCGUGGGAAAUAGAUGCUGCAGUGAUGGGUUUUGGCUGGAAGAAGUCGUCAUGGUGGUCUGAGCCAGAUGGAGAACAGAAGGAAAGAGGACGACGCCAGCCGUAAAAGACGGGAAUUAUCCGUGUAUCCUGUGGACUACUUAGGAUUCGGUCGACUGCGUCGAUGAUCAACUUUUUUUUUCUUUCUGUUUAAUGUUAAUAAAAUGGUUAACGCAGGCUUGUGGGGGAGUCUUUUUUUGGAAUAAAUUUUUUUUAAACCUGUUGUGUUUUUUUUUAUUUGCUUGACAGGCUUAGUAGUGGAAGGCGUCCUAUAGACAGAAUCCAUUACUAAGCCGUUGCUUAGCGUUAGCCCCAAUUAAAGUUAGCGUUAACCCCCAAU